Molecule: transfer RNA, 65 nt
Filed under: Dipodomys ordii (Ord's kangaroo rat)
Lineage: Eukaryota; Metazoa; Chordata; Mammalia; Rodentia; Heteromyidae
Rfam family: tRNA
About the family: Transfer RNA (tRNA) molecules are approximately 80 nucleotides in length. Their secondary structure includes four short double-helical elements and three loops (D, anti-codon, and T loops). Further hydrogen bonds mediate the characteristic L-shaped molecular structure. tRNAs have two regions of fundamental functional importance: the anti-codon, which is responsible for specific mRNA codon recognition, and the 3' end, to which the tRNAs corresponding amino acid is attached (by aminoacyl-tRNA synthetases). tRNAs cope with the degeneracy of the genetic code in two manners: having more than one tRNA (with a specific anti-codon) for a particular amino acid; and 'wobble' base-pairing, i.e. permitting non-standard base-pairing at the 3rd anti-codon position.
Source: Rfam by way of RNAcentral
GGUGGCUCAGUGGUAGAGUGCUUGCCUAACAUGCAUGAGACCCUGGGUUCAAUUCCUCAGCACCA